CCUACGGGAGGCAGCAGUGGGGAAUAUUGCACAAUGGGGGAAACGCUGAUGCAGCGACGCCGCGUGAGUGAAGACGGAAUUCGGUAUGGAAAACUCCAUCUGCAGGGAAGAAAAUGACGGUACGUGAGUAAGUAGCCCAGUCUAACUCAGUUCCAGAACGCGUGGCAAUACGGAGGGAGCAAGCGUUAUCCGGAUUUACUGGGUGUAAAGGGAGCGUAUACGGCAGUGGAAGUCUGGAGUGAAAUGCCGGGGCUCAACGCCCGAACUGCUCUGGAAACUGUACGGCUGGAGUGCAGGAGAGGUAAGUGGAAUGUCUGGUGUAGCGGUGAAAUGCGUAGAUAUUAGGAGGAACACCAGUUGCGAAGGCGGCUUACUGGACUGUAACUGACGUUGAGGCUCGAAAGCGUGGGGAGCAAACAGGAUUAGAUACCCGAGUAGUC
RNAcentral lists this ribosomal RNA (440 nucleotides) under uncultured bacterium. RNAcentral's name for it is "partial 16S ribosomal RNA". It matches the Rfam family "Bacterial small subunit ribosomal RNA", at positions 338 to 795 of the family's 1533-position model. The record is from RNAcentral.